This is a long non-coding RNA of Rhopilema esculentum, 3751 nucleotides long. RefSeq lists it as uncharacterized. The record is from RefSeq and is a predicted model, not a curated record. Lineage: Eukaryota; Metazoa; Cnidaria; Scyphozoa; Rhizostomeae; Rhizostomatidae.
AUAUUUUCUAAGUCCAUCUAGAAAUGCCUUCGUGCAGUUGAAAUUCGAACACAAUUCCUUCACAAAACCACUGUGCGGAUGUUAUUACGCCGAUUUAUAAUCGCUUGUUGGCAUGCUCCGUUGACAAUUUUGUAUAUAUUUCAUUUACAAUUUUUUACCUUUUGCCAUGUUUUAUUUACAAUUUUGUACCAAUUACUAUGUGCCAUUACAAUUUAGUAUGCUUUUGUUUACUAUGCACCGUUUACUGUGUACUGUAAACCUUGCACCAUUGUACAAUGUACAGAUUUAUUAUGUACAAUCUAUCAUGAAAUGUUUUUCAUAUACCAUUUGCCUUUGUACCAUUUCACGAUAAACUAUUUAUCAUUUACUUUACAAAUAUUUAACCCAUAUAAUUUAUGUGCAGGAGUAGCGGCCAUUAACUGUCAUCUUUUCGAUCCAAAUGCCUAAAGGGAUGGUACACUUGAGAGAGAAAAUUGGAUACGAACUUUCAUAGGCCCGUUACAUUUAGCAGUUAAUUACAAAGACCACUUGCUCAAAUCCUCGCUUAUGGCUGGAAAGAUAAUUUGAUGUCGUUGAUGCGAAAAAUCUGGAAGUUUAAAGAUGUGCUAUAAAAUCUCAAACCGCCUCUUGGUCAAAUUUGAUCAACAUCUUUACUGUUUUGCAGACAAAGACUACGAGCUCAUAACGGUGGUUGAUAGCUUAUAGUCUUUUUUACUUCAGUACAAAUCAAGAAAGGCGGGAACGUCUCUUUAAGUUUGUUCCCAGCUGAUGAAAUCCGCGAUCUUACGAUGAAUACGGUUGAGUAAGCACCACAAUUUAAUUCCUUUACUUAACAUAAUCCGAUAGACACAAUUCCCGGUCAGUGUCGGUUUAAUACUGUGGGUAAACUUCUGGGAGAAGUAAAAUCCCAAUCUAAGCUCACCGCUCAGGCAAUUUUCAUAUGCUCAAUUGGUCUUCCAAUUGAAAUACUGGCUUAAUUUACGAAGCGCCAAGGAUCACUCCAAUCUAGUUUCGUCCCCUAAUAAGAGUUCUUCCUGGGUAAACUACGAAUAUCGCUUUUCAGAACUUACCGCUAACGUGUUUUUAUGCAUUCAAAUUAAAGUUUGGUAGAUUAUUUCCCAUUUAUGUUGACUUUUUACAAAAUAUCAAACGUGUAUUACGAUUAUAUGAUUAUAUACUCAAUCUAGUUUCGUUUCGUUUCAACAAGGAACUUUGUAUUACUAAAAUUUUAGCGUUGAUUUGAGAUAUACAGCCGGAACUUGGUGAAUUUUGGAUGAAUUGAUUGAAAUUUUAUAGAAUUGCGGCUUUCAUUUGGCAAGACAUCAUGAUCUGCCCGCCAUUUUGUUUCUCGCUUUGUUGAAUAUACUCUCUAGAGACAUGAAUUUGAUUGAAGAUUCUGCGCGCCAUUCCUUAGGGAACACGGAAAACGUCGUCACUUUGAGAUGUCUCGUCCAAACGUAACUUGGAAUAUUGCUUGGAUGGCCUUACCGACUGCUCCUCGUCCUACUGAACUUUAUUUAUCAAAAGAUACAUAUCAAGACAGAGCCUAAAGUCUCGCUGAGGAUGAAGAGUUUUCGAUAUUUUGAAGGGAAGGUGAGCGCGGAAACUUUUUGUGAAACACGACUUUGUUCGUUGGCAGUUCCCGCGUAUCGGGAGCUUAGCUAUCGUUAAAUUUUCCUUAGCUGAAAAGACUCCUUUAAAGUCACAUUUUAAAAUGUAGCAACGUAGGCAAACAUUGAUUCAUUCAAACUAUUGUUAAGUCCACUAUAAAUACAGGCAUGUAAACAUAACGGUCCGGUUUUUUAUAUUUUUUUCAAUGCUUAACAUCCUAUGUGUGUUCAGACCAUUGUUUACGCCGUAUCGUGUUUGGCUGUACAAAUGUGCGCUUGUGAGAACAAUUCAAUUAUAGCUCUACCUACUUCAGAUUUUGGUAUAAAUUAAAUAUAACGGUUCCGUUAUUUAGUUUGCCAUCAAUUGGUUAGGGAAACGUGCAUGGAAUUUCAAUCGUUAUCUUUGAUCUAAACAUUGGUCGGGUGUAAAAUAGCAAAACCAACUCGGUACAUUCGAAGCAGUCUGUGUAAACCCUAAAGAUUCACGAACACCACGUAAUAGAGCAACAAGUUGUCCUAGGCAGUUGAUUUUUCUAAUAAAAAAUUAUAUGUUUUUGUACUGUGUUUUUGUACUGUGUGUAAAUUGAAUAAUUGUUUCUUGAAUAAUUUCAUAUUUCUUUCAAGUAGCAUUGACCGAGAAAAAGCUAUUAUGUUACUCUUUGAGCUGUAUAAGCGAUAAAUUAGGACAAACCAGUGCUAUAAAUAACAAAGCACCCUGUGAAAUAAAUAUCAACAACAGAUUUGGUAUGUGUUGAUGCUUAAUUUCUAGCAUUUCAGCCUCCCAUUCGUCUUGCUGGCUAGAGGGAUAGUGACUGUUACUCUUACGAUAAAUAUAAACCAUUUAACAGCACCCCUUAAAUUAUAUGAUAGCAUUGAAAUGAUCUUUAAUCCUUAUUUCAUGACUUACAACGAUGUCUCAGCUCAAACUCGAACCGCAAAAUCAAAAGCUCUGAAUUUCUGCUUUUGUAGCUGAAUCUGUGUAUUCGAUUAGGUUGAGCAAGCAACCCCUGAAUUUCAGAAGUCUGCUUCUCUUGUAGGUGUCGAGAAAAUUAACGAAUGGUUACGACCGCUACUUAAUUCUCUGAGUGUUGUGGUAUUGGGUUCAGCCACAAAAUACCCAAUCAAUUGGUAGUUGUAUGCCCUCCUGAUGCCUUUUGCAAGAAUGGAAACUUUGCUGAUGCCUUUCAACUGCGAGAUGUUAUCGAUCAGAGCUUCACGUGCUGCAUUAAUAACAAACAAUCGGGUACAUCCUGUCUAUUAAACUCAAGCUCAAUCCUUUGAUGGGAAGAUUCAAGCAGAACGAAGCAGAUGAAUGACAAGGUAUGCUAGUUGGUCCCUAAAUUUAAUUCACCGUAUGAAGGGAUGUUUUUUAACGUUUAGAUUGUGUGGAUUUAAAAGUUGAUUUCUUUCACUUAAUAAAGAUGAAAUCUUUAUCUAAAAAAUUACAUCUUUAUCAAAUUAGUUUUGAAUCUUUGUAACUCUGAAAUAGUGACUAUUUGACCAACUCUUUUUUCUUUUUUUCUAAAAAAUCAAACCGUGUCCUUUUGAUUAAACAAAGCUACUUCCAAGUUAUCAAAAGAAUCACCAAGGCUUAGAAGUAUAUUUGAAGUUUGAAGUAUAUAAAACUUGACUGUUUACCCAAAUCUAUAUCAUUGUCCUUUUGUUAAAGUUCAACUAAAACUAUAUAACAUAAAAUGAAAAUGAUAUUAGAUCUUAAAGUUUGUAUUUUCAAGCAAGCUUUAAAAAAUUAGAUUAUCGUUAAACCAGAUUUCUUCCUAUAAUGACAUGUAAAGAAUAGAUACAACAUAUUUAACCAACCACACUUAAGUAACAUAUUUAUAAGUUAAUAAGGAACAAACCUCCGAUUGAUAUUCAGUAAGAUUAAUUGUAUUCAGUGAGAUUAAGGCUUUAUGCUAAAACAUUUUAAAGGAAAUGUCCAUCCUUAAAAGUGACUUCCUUCAACCGCCAUUGCCAUAAAUUUAAGAAAAUCAGUUGUUUCUAUCUGCUUUAAAUUCCUAUAAGGUUACUGUCUUUUUAAAGAAAUUCCAUUUGAAAAAUAGUUGUGUUUUCCAUAGUCAAUUGCCUUUCCUCUUGUCAAAAAUAACCAAUUGUAGAGGAUUGCUAUUUUCAAUCAGAAAUGU